Molecule: long non-coding RNA, 511 nt
Filed under: Phoenix dactylifera (date palm)
Lineage: Eukaryota; Viridiplantae; Streptophyta; Magnoliopsida; Arecales; Arecaceae
Description: long non-coding RNA (PDAC_LNC010732)
Source: RNAcentral
UCAGAAGUUCAAGAACAAGUAAUCAAAGUUUAAGGAGGAGGAUGAUCGUCGCGCGACGUCAAGCCUUCCCCUUUCCAGCUAAAACUUCCUUUGCCCAUGGUAUCCAAAUCAAAACGAUCGAAUUUUUACCAUUCCGUUCUCCAAAAGACGUGAUUUUUCCUGAAUUUCGAAAAAUUGAGUGUUAGAAGUUUCAAAAACGAAGACGAUCAGCUUAUUAUCCUCACGUUUGAAUCAUUUCUUUUAUUUUGAUAUAAUAUUUUCUGUUUUAUCUGGUCGGCGGGGAGCAGACGAAGGCUGCUUAGAAGAACGGGAAGGCGACCUCUAGAAAGUCGCGGGAAUGGAGGAGAAAGCGGUGGACCGGAGGGCCGAUGAUGGCGCAAGACGGCUUUAUUUGUUUGGUGUCUCUUUUAAUCUUUUAUGUAUUUAUUUACUCGAUACUCAUAAGAAGAUGAUCUACUUCUUCUUUUUUUGACUAUUUAAUUAAAGUCUGCAGCACGGGCCGAGUUAUUUA